Molecule: long non-coding RNA, 1777 nt
Organism: Prinia subflava (tawny-flanked prinia)
Lineage: Eukaryota; Metazoa; Chordata; Aves; Passeriformes; Cisticolidae
Exons: 3
Source: RefSeq, a predicted model, not a curated record
UACACUCUUUUACGAGUCACAACAGGUCUAGUGCAAGACAUGACUUGAAGGGAUGGAAAGGCGUGCAUUACAAAUUAACUUUUAAAGAAGCAAUCUGCCAGUGUCAGAAAUGCAAGCUGGGAUGGAAAGCAGGAGCUCUGCUCAUGCAGAGAAUUCUGUGACAUGUCAGAGCUGCUGAAAUGGAUCUUUUUGAUCAGAGCUGGUCCAGGGAAUACAGACACUCAGCAUUUAGCUUUGAAAUGAAACAAGCAUAAUAGAUAACAAAUUUUCUUUUUGAAAACAACUGUUGGGCUGUUGCAAAAAAUAACAGCAUAGGAUGGUUUGACAUUAGCUCUUGAAUUGAAUCUACAAAUUCAUCGUGACCAAGAGGGGGGGGAUCUUCCUCCUCCCCCUUCCUUCAGACUAUAAACACUCCUCUUUCUCCAUUCCCAUUCUCCCACACAUCAUGCCCUGAGCUGAGUCAAUUCAAGUUGUUGAAAGAGAAGAAAAUGAGCCUAACAAAGAAAGAAACUUUAUCUGUAAUUUAAAUACUUGUAACAAUUUAUCCAGCAGAGUGUUAGAGCUGGUUUUGGGGGAAGGUGGGAUCAGGCAGCUGGACCCAGCUGAGGAGGAAUUGACCCAUUCUCACAAGAAUGAGCCAUUACAUUUCAUCAGUGCAACUUUAUCCUCAAAUAAAGGAUCUGUUCUUCCAAAUCCUCCAUCCCAUGUCACCUAGACAGUGUUGCACCCUGCUGUGUCUCAGUUCUGGUGCUUGUUCAACCAGAGUGCUGUCAUGAGUAAAAUACACUAAUGUUUUCAUUGUCACUGACAUACUUUACUGGGUUACAUUGCUUAAAAAAAAAAAAAAAAAAAAAGAAAAAAAGUCAAAUAAGCCAUGCUGAACCUGAUGUAGUAAAGUGGCAGAGAUGCUCAUUCACAGCACUUCAAGAAGCCAGGCUGGUCAAUCAUACUGGUUUAGCUUGCCCUAAAUUGCAGUCUCCCUCAGAAUUAAAAAAAAAUAUUUUCCUCUCAGUAUUCUCAUUUUUCAUUCAAUUUCUUUCUCCAUUUAUGGAGAGAAUAACAGAACAGAGCAGCUGGAAGAUAGAAGUGGGCCAUCAUUUGGUAGAAGGACAACUAGAAGAUGCAGCUCAGAAUCACUGCCAUGUCCAUGGAGUGCACCAAGCCCACUCUAACAAAGAUCAGCGUCCAGGUGGAACAGAUGCAACCAGGGCUCUGCCCAAAGCAAGGAACUCGUGAUUCUGCUACAAAGGCGUAGAAGUCUGCUACAAUUCACCUAUUGAUUGAAGAAUAAACCAUUGUACAAUCCUGCACUGGAUGAAUCUUUUGAGACUCAAGAGCCAUUACCCACUAGUACUUAGAGGAGUCACUCAAAGCAAAAUUAAAAAUUGUCUGUGUGUAUAGCUGCAGAAGUAUCAGCUUAGGUUCAGGUGCAGGAAAGACAGUAAAAUCAGAGCUGAACAAAUCUAUUUGGAUGACUGUAGCAAAGCCUUGGCUUCAUUAGCUCUAUUAGAAAAAUAUACGUUUUCCUUCAAGACAGCCACACCUUUUCCUGACAUCCAUCCAUUUCCAUCUCUCAUUAGUACAUAACUGUCUUUCACAUACCCUGUUUAUCAAAUGAUCAAAUUUACUCAUGUAUAAAGCCAGCUUCCUACCUUGUCAAAAGGGAAAAUUGUCAUAUUACUCUCUUGUUAAGUGAGGAAAACCUUUAAGUGGAAAUAUAAUUUUCUGUAAAUUUUCAUAACAUCAAAACCAAACCUUGAAAGCCUAAAUAAACUAA